Molecule: ribosomal RNA, 582 nt
Filed under: Triticum aestivum (bread wheat)
Lineage: Eukaryota; Viridiplantae; Streptophyta; Magnoliopsida; Poales; Poaceae
Description: partial small subunit ribosomal RNA
Source: RNAcentral
AUGCUGCAGAAGGAUGGGGGUAUUGAUGAAGAUGUGAACCAUCGAAUCAAAGCUGGAUGGAUGAAGUGGCGCCAAGCUUCUGGCAGUCUCUAUGACAAGAGAGUGCCACAAAAGCUAAAAGGAAAGUUCUACAGGACGACGGUUCGACCCGUAAUGUUGUAUGGCGCUGAGUGUUGGCCGACUAAAAGGCGACAUGUUCAACAGUUAUGUGUGGCGGAGAUGCGUAUGUUGAGAUGGACGUGUGGCUACACGAGGAAGGAUCGAGUCCGGAAUGAUGAUAUACGAGAUCGAGUUGGGGUAGCACCAGUUGAAGAGAAGCUUGUUCAACAUCGUCUGAGAUGGUUUGGGCAUAUUCAGUGCCGGCCUCCAGAAGCUCCAGUGCAUAGUGGACGGCUAAAGCGUGCGGAGAAUGUCAAGAAAGGUCGGGGUAGACCGAAUUUGACAUGGGAGGAAUCCGUAAAGAGAGAUAUGAAGGAUUGGAGUAUCACCAAAAAACUAGCUAUGGACAGGGUGCGUGGAAGCUUGCUAGCCAUGUGCCCGAACCAUGAGUUGAUCACGAGAUCUUAUGGGUUUCACCUCUAG